Tetranychus urticae (two-spotted spider mite) is the source of this 4335-nucleotide non-coding RNA. Lineage: Eukaryota; Metazoa; Arthropoda; Arachnida; Trombidiformes; Tetranychidae. The record is from RefSeq and is a predicted model, not a curated record.
AAUUGGUAAACCAAUGGAAGAAAAAGAAGAGAUUUUCACAAUCAAUACAAAAGAUCAACAUGCAAUCGUUAAAUUAAGCUCUGUCAUUUUGUGGCGGAUAAUAAAACCUAACAAUUCUUUCUCUCGCUUUCAAUUGUUUAAAAAAACAAACAAACCUAAAGGAUUCAAAAACAAUCAACCAGAUUUUUCUUGCCCGGUGAAUGCUACUUGGCUACCAAAAAGCGAUAAUUUCUUAAUCUUUCAUUGAAUAUCAAUCUAUUAACAGCUGACUUCAAACUGAAUGUAACCAUUUAAACACUUGCUUUACUUUGAGCCUUUUUUCACUCUUAUUUACCCUUUCAACGAAAACAAACCAAGUUUAAAUGGUCAAAGUGAAAGCAAUCAAUCGCAAUACAUUUGAUGCACUGGGACCAAGGAAUGACCAAAGGAAAGGGAAAAUGUGAAUCAACUAGAUUUUGUCACGAAGAUGAACUAAAUGAGUUGUUUACGCCUCUCAAAUGAUGAUCACCAUGAUGAUCAUGAACAUCUUGAAGCUAUAGUUGUAAGAAAAAUUAGAAGAUGAUGAUCAUCUUGAUGGUGUGGAGGACACUAAAGUAUCUAUUAGAUAAAAGUGGAAGGACUUUUUAUCAAGCAGUAACAAAUGGAUCAAAGUGCAUAAUAAGUCAACUGUGCCAAUAAUUCAGGCCAAGAAAGACCAUGGUUAUCAUAUUGAACUUAUUUUCAUAUCAUUUGACUUUUCUGGUGCAGUCACAUUUUUACUAACAAUCCUACACAAAACAGUCUCUUAAUCUUACUCAAACAGUUGAUUAACUCUUCCAAAGCAAUCAGUGACCGAUAAACUUCAUAUUUGAUCUGACAUUUUUUCCUCGCCACUUUAGUGUUCUCUAUUCAUUGUUUAUUUUUGUGAAUCUUACUGUUAUACUUUAGUCUAAGUCCAUUAUUGCAAGUCCAAUUUAAGUUACUGAAACAAAUUCAUCUCUUUGCCAAAAUAAUGUCCAAUCAAUCUGAUUGAAGAUGAUUGAAUCCUUCUUUUUUCCCUUUACUUUCAUUAGCUUGAUUUUAUAGCCAACACUGACCAUUACUGCCUCCUCCCUCAGCCAUUUCCUUCAAUCUUCAUUUUGAUCAACAUCUAAAAACAAAAAUUAUUGCUAGGUGAAAGUGAUGUUUCCGUGUCUUUAUCUGAUUACUCUUCAUUCAAAUAAUAGUACUUGACCUGACCGUACAGUAUAUAUAGAUAUAUUAUGUGAUAUGUACCAUAUAAUUUUGAUAACAUUAAUCAGCUCAGAACUCUAUCUUUCCCCUGUUUUUCCUCUCUCCCAUUUUAUUGUCUCUGACAGAUAAUUGGCCAAUAAGAGUCAUCUCGUAAUACCUAAUAUUAUGAUAUUUUCUUACCUAAAAAGUCACGUUGAAUCAACUCUUUGUAUGCUAACAGACUGAAUCUAUUUCACCCUGCAAAAGGUCAAAUGGGAAAUAUUUUCAGACUCUGUUGGUCAUCAUCAUCAUAAAGCAACAUUGGAUAAGAUUUUUGUUUCUCAAUCCAUUUUUACAAUCAUCAUCAUCAUCUUUUCUUUACCUUUACUUUCAUCUUAUUUUUCCCUGGAUGGCUCAAAACAAACACCAUAUAAACUAUUAUGCUCCAGAAAACUUGAAAUGAACCUGAUGCUUUGUGGAAAGACAGCAAAUACCGUAAAAAAGGCUAAACUUGCUGGUCAUAAGGUAAGGAAGCAACUUGAAGACAAAAAAAUGUUCAUUCUUAAAGAUGGAUUAGUCCUUGGAGAUUUUAUCUUGCAGAUGAUUUACCCUUCUUGCAGUCUCCCAUUUUCAUCAACAUUAUCAUCAUUCUCCAGCUAUAGCUUUAUGCUAUUAAGACAACUAUAACCUAGCAGCAGCCAUGAACUGUUAAUCUAAUAAUUUAUUUAUCCUUUUUGAUUAAAGGAACGCUUCCUUUUAUGAGAAUUUCUUUCUAAAUUUUGGACCCUUUAAUCAACUUAAUUGUGUAUCUUGAUUAUGAGCUUCAUCUUGAUAUAGACCAUGUUUUCCAUGAUUAAUGAUGACGCCAUUGGAAUUGCCUGCGGACUCUUGAUCAUCAUCACCAUCUUCAUCUAAAGGAACUCCAUUUUCCAACUUUGUUUCACAUUCUCAAUCAUGAACAUAAUCAUCAUCUUCUCUCCCGUUUCAGCAAUCUUGUUAAGGUUGAAGGUCAGAUCGAUGUUACCGGUACAAAUCAAGGCAAAGUGUAACAUGUCAAAAAACUGGUCCUCGUUUCCUUUCUCAUUAGUCACAAACUGAUUGAUGGUCUGUAAAGUAUCGAAUCAUCUUCCUUACCUUUUGGAUGAUUCUCAUUCCAUACCAAAUGCAUGGAAGCUGAGCCAUUCGGAAAGGUUGAUCAUUUUUUAUUUGUACGCCAUUUUAUGUUUAUUUUGUUAUGUUACAGGAAAAAAAGGCUUGAUCUUUUAACCUGUGGGCUUACAAAGUAAAUUGAAGUGUCUACAAAAAUUGUUUGUUAAAGAAGCUGAUUAUUGAUUAAGCCAAGUUAUUUGUCAAUUGAUUCAAUGAUAAACUAAAUCUCUACAAAUGAUAAGCUCAUAAUGUAUGGCUGUUUAAUCCUGAUUAUCUUAAACUCAUUCCUACUUAUGCUAUAAGAUAUACGUAUAAGGUAUAAGAUGGACUUUACUGACUCUUUUAAAUCAACUAAUUCUUUCUGGUUAAAAUCAACUGUUGACUGAUUGUCAUCUCAUCAUUUAAAUCAGUGUUGAAGUGGCACAAUCAGGUGAAAAAUCCCGUCUCCAACCUAAUCUCCUUCAUCAUCCUCAUUAUCAUCUUACUCUACAUCAUCAACCACCACAUCAUAAUCAUUAUACUGCAAGAACCUUUAUCUUCAUCUUUAUACUUAUCUCUUAGAUUCGCAUAAUUUUUGAUUAAGAUAACGUAAGGAUGCAUCUUUCAGCUGGAAACACUCCUUGUUUCAAGGUGAUUUUCACUAAUUGGCCUGAUACCAUGUUGAGUUGACUCCUCAUCCUCCGCCGAGCCGCUUAACCACAGUUUCCUUAACAGUGAAAACUAAACAAAUCAUAGUUAUAAAACCUUAUUAAUAGCUCAGUAAGAAUCUUAUUUUUUCUCAGUUUCUCAGAAAAAAACUAGUAGCUGGACAAAUUAUUUCUUCUCCGAAACUCAGUAUGGUAUAUCUGAUGAUUAUUUCACUAUUUUCACCAUAUACUUGACUCAUUUUCACGGUUGACAAAUUUUCCCACUCUUAUUUCAAUUUUAAUGGGUGAGGUAAGGAGAAAGGUUGAAUUAAAUGUUAGUUUAUUGUUGAUUGAAACAAAAUAUACACAACUCUGUUUUCUUGCUGAAUCAACAAAUCAACAAAACAUACUAAUGAUGUUUACAUUGACAAGUAAACUUUAUAUUUUUAGUUGAAACAUUACCUUUUCCCAUUGUUUUAAUGAAACUUUUCAUCAUCAUCUUAAACUGUUGAAAUUUUGAUCAACUUCAGCUUUUUUCCCCAUUCCUUAUACAGUAUUAUAUCCAAUUUCAUGUUGAAUCUUGUUUGAAAUGAGUAAAGACUUCACUUUCUUUUAGCUUAUUAUUUGGUGUCAACUACAGAUGAUGAAGAUGAUAAUGAUUUUUGAUGACAAUCAUCCAGUUAAGGGUAAAAAAAGAUGAAUCUGUUGAAAUUCAGAGCUCAUUUUAAGCUCAAAUGGUCCAGUUAUUGAAAUAUAUUUCAUUUUAUUUAUUUUAUUUCCACAGACAAUGGUGUUGACUUUUGCUUCAAUGGAUCUUCAAUGGAAAGGAUUUCAAGUUUAAUCAUGGAUCAACUCUUUCAUUGAUGGAUUUUAAAUUUCCAGAUCAGAUUCACUCUUCAAAUUGUUAUUACAAGGAAUCAUUAUCACCAUUGCUAACAACUGUCUCUGCUUCAAGAUUUGAAACAAUUGGAGCCCGACUUAUUAUGGUUUUAACCCAAUUGUAUUGAUUGAAAAUGAAUUCAAUUUAACAAUUGUUGAAACAGCCAAAAAGAUUGCUAAUCAUUUUAUGUGAAUGCAUAAAAUUAUUCAAUACCUUAGGCAUUGAGUGUAAACUAUUUGAGGAAUAAUCAAAUUGUCAAACAAUGAGUUACAACCUUGUUUAAUCAUUUACUUCAAUUUGUAACCAUUUUUGUAGUUUUGUUCAAACGGUUGGGUUAAAGUAUGAUAAUUGUUAAUUUGAUUGAGACAAUGAAUUCAAUGGGAAAAUAGGCAUUUUCAAUCAGCAACAAUCUUAAUAACAUUUCAGCUUGUUUAUCAUGUUGGAAAGCCAAUUAAAUCAACAAAUUCACCUCACUUUGAGGCAAAAUUA